UACGGAAGGCAGCAGUGGGGAAUAUUGCACAAUGGGCGAAAGCCUGAUGCAGCUAUGCCGCGUGUAUGAAGAAGGCCUUAGGGUUGUAAAGUACUUUCAUCGGGGAGGAAAAACAAAACUAAUAAUUUUAUUUCUUGACGUUACCCGAAAAAGAAGCACCGGCUAACUCCGUGCCAGCAGCCGCGGUAAUACGGAGGGUGCUAGCGUUAAUCAGAAUUACUGGGCGUAAAGAGCACGUAGGUGGUUUUUUUAAAGUCAGAUGUGAAAUCCCUGGGCUUAACCUAGGAACUGCAUUUUGAAACUGAAAUACUAGAGUAUCGUAGAGGGAGGUAGAAUUCUAGGUGUAGCGGUGAAAUGCGUAGAUAUCUGGAGGAAUACCUGUGGCGAAAGCGGCCUCCUAAACGAAUACUGACACUGAGGGUGCGAAAGCGUGGGGAGCAAACAGGGAUUAGAUA
This 455-nucleotide ribosomal RNA is filed under the name uncultured bacterium. RNAcentral describes it as "bacterial SSU rRNA". It matches the Rfam family "Bacterial small subunit ribosomal RNA", at positions 340 to 784 of the family's 1533-position model. The record is from RNAcentral.